UACGUAGGGUGCAAGCGUUGUCCGGAAUUAUUGGGCGUAAAGAGCUCGUAGGCGGUCUGUCGCGUCGGAUGUGAAAGCCCGGGGCUUAACCCCGGGUCUGCAUUCGAUACGGGCAGACUAGAGUGUGGUAGGGGAGAUCGGAAUUCCUGGUGUAGCGGUGAAAUGCGCAGAUAUCAGGAGGAACACCGGUGGCGAAGGCGGAUCUCUGGGCAUUACCUGACGCUGAGGAGCGAAAGUGUGGGGAGCGAACAGG
This 253-nucleotide ribosomal RNA is filed under the name uncultured bacterium. RNAcentral describes it as "partial 16S ribosomal RNA". It matches the Rfam family "Bacterial small subunit ribosomal RNA", at positions 524 to 776 of the family's 1533-position model. The record is from RNAcentral.